GUCCCUUAGGAGACAUCCGAUAAAAUUGGAACUAUACAGAGAAGAUUAGCAUGACCCCUGCGCAAAGAUGUCUACUAGUCUCGCUGAAUGUCUACUAGUCACU
RNAcentral lists this small nuclear RNA (103 nucleotides) under Trifolium pratense (red clover). Lineage: Eukaryota; Viridiplantae; Streptophyta; Magnoliopsida; Fabales; Fabaceae. The record is from RNAcentral.